CCUACGGGGGGCAACAGUGAGGAAUAUUGGUCAAUGGACGAGAGUCUGAACCAGCCAAGUAGCGUGAAGGAUGACUGCCCUAUGGGUUGUAAACUUCUUUUAUAUGGGAAUAAAAUGUUCCACGUGUGGGAUUUUGUAUGUACCAUAUGAAUAAGGAUCGGCUAACUCCGUGCCAGCAGCCGCGGUAAUACGGAGGAUCCGAGCGUUAGCCGGAUUUAUUGGGUUUAAAGGGAGCGUAGGUGGAUUGUUAAGUCAGUUGUGAAAGUUUGCGGCUCAACCGUAAAAUUGCAGUUGAAACUGGCAGUCUUGAGUACAGUAGAGGUGGGCGGAAUUCGUGGUGUAGCGGUGAAAUGCUUAGAUAUCACGAAGAACUCCGAUUGCGAAGGCAGUUCACUGGACUGCAACUGACACUGAGGCUCGAAAGUGUGGGUAUCAAACAGGAUUAGAUACCCUUGUAGUC
This 460-nucleotide ribosomal RNA is filed under the name uncultured bacterium. Its description in RNAcentral is "partial 16S ribosomal RNA". It matches the Rfam family "Bacterial small subunit ribosomal RNA", at positions 338 to 795 of the family's 1533-position model. The record is from RNAcentral.